This 306-nucleotide ribosomal RNA is filed under the name uncultured Pseudomonadota bacterium. RNAcentral's name for it is "bacterial SSU rRNA". It matches the Rfam family "Bacterial small subunit ribosomal RNA", at positions 29 to 351 of the family's 1533-position model. The record is from RNAcentral. Lineage: Bacteria; Pseudomonadati; Pseudomonadota.
AACGAACGCUGGCGGCAUGCCUAACACAUGCAAGUCGAACGAAGCCCCGACCUCGGUUGGACGCUUAGUGGCGCACGGGUGCGUAACGCGUGGGAAUCUGCCCUUGGGUUCGGAAUAACAGUUAGAAAUGACUGCUAAUACCGGAUGAUGUCUUCGGACCAAAGAUUUAUCGCCCAAGGAUGAGCCCGCGUAGGAUUAGGUAGUUGGUGGGGUAAAGGCUCACCAAGCCGACGAUCCUUAGCUGGUCUGAGAGGAUGAUCAGCCACACUGGGACUGAGACACGGCCCAGACUCCUACGGGUGGCAG